UACGGGGGGGGCAAGCGUUGUUCGGAAUUACUGGGCGUAAAGGGCGCGUAGGCGGCCAUCUAAGUCAGACGUGAAAUCCCUCGGCUCAACCGAGGAACUGCGUCUGAUACUGGAAGGCUUGAAUCCGGGAGAGGGAUGUGGAAUUCCAGGUGUAGCGGUGAAAUGCGUAGAUAUCUGGAGGAACACCGGUGGCGAAGGCGGCAUCCUGGACCGGUAUUGACGCUGAGGCGCGAAAGCUAGGGGAGCAAACAGG
RNAcentral lists this ribosomal RNA (253 nucleotides) under uncultured bacterium. Its description in RNAcentral is "partial 16S ribosomal RNA". It matches the Rfam family "Bacterial small subunit ribosomal RNA", at positions 524 to 776 of the family's 1533-position model. The record is from RNAcentral.